CAAUCCCAUUGUCCCAGCAGCUGCAAUAUUAUAAGGAAUACCAGACAAAGCUCGCCAAGGUAGCAGGCAGCAAGAAAGCGGCGUCGAUCAUCAAGGAUGCUCUCUAUUUACUGAGUGCCGGAAACAGUGACUUUCUUCAGAAUUACUAUGUCAACCCUUUUGUUAACAAAGUCUACACUCCUGACCAGUAUGGCUCCAUCCUUGUUGGUGUCUUCCAAGGCUUCGUUAAGGUGUAUAUCUGCUCAUUGCUCCUCUUAAAUAGUUCUAAUCGUAAUAAAACGAUAAUUCAGUUAUUGCACCCGACUUUUACCUCAUUUAAGUGAAUCUCACUAACAUUAAUAUAUCACUUGUCACGCGGACUACGCUAAUCAAGUAACGGAAUUUUGGUUAAAUUUCUAUUUUAGAUUUCUGAUUGUGAAACUAAGGGCUCGUUUGAGAGGGAUGGUUUGAUUCAAAACUAAUUUACCUUGUCAUUAAAUCCGCGAAUCCUUUUUUUCAAACAUUUCGUCCAAAUGGAUCCUAAGGUUUUGCUACGCUUCCUUGAAAACUAGGAUUUGUACCACCUGGGAGCCAGGAAGAUCGGUGUGACCUCACUCCCUCCAUUGGGUUGCCUUCCGGCUGCAAUCACCUUAUUUGGAAACCAUGAGCAAGGAUGUGUCGCUAGAAUCAACUCCGAUGCCCAAGGGUUUAACAAGAAGAUAAACUCCGCAGCGGGAAAUCUCCAAAAGCAACUUUCCGGUCUUAACAUCGUCAUCUUCGACAUUUACAAGCCGCUCUAUGAUGUCAUUAAAGCCCCAGCAAAUUACGGU
This 809-nucleotide long non-coding RNA is filed under the name Malus domestica (apple). Its description in RNAcentral is "long non-coding RNA (MDOM_LNC008210)". Lineage: Eukaryota; Viridiplantae; Streptophyta; Magnoliopsida; Rosales; Rosaceae. The record is from RNAcentral.